This 577-nucleotide long non-coding RNA is filed under the name Mus caroli (Ryukyu mouse). RNAcentral describes it as "lncRNA (MGP_CAROLIEiJ_G0005349.1)". Lineage: Eukaryota; Metazoa; Chordata; Mammalia; Rodentia; Muridae. The record is from RNAcentral.
ACGCGGACACCCAGGUACUGCAGGCAGAAGAGCGCGGCCAGCGCGCCCCAAAGGGCCGCUGUGAAGAGGCUGCAGCUGAAGUAGAGCAGGAAGCGUAUAAAGCCGUAGAGCCAGCGGGUCUUGACAUACACAUCGAAGUUGUUGUACUUGGUGCGAGCCAGGUGAGAGGUUCUCAGCGGUCCGCAGGCUGCGUGCAAGCAGGUGGUGUGCGGGCCGUGGAAGGAGCGCACCCGCCGCGGGAUGGGCAUGACCGGCAUUGGGCCUGGGCGGCAGUGCUGUUUUGCAGUGGCGGUGCAGUGUCCGGAUGGCCAGCAUAGGUGUCAUCAGCGUCUAGGAGCCCUCAGCUGAGCCUUGGGGGAGGUGCUGGCCUGCAGAGAGAAAUACAGAGAGUGCCAGGUUACCACCUCACCUCCCACUGCUCUUGCUCCGUAAAUUGAGGCACCAAGACCUCUUCCCUGGGGCUGCCUGUACACAACAAAAGCAUUACUGGCUUGUCUAGGCUGGACAUAGUGUCAGAGUUCUCCAAACUGGGACACAGAGAGGAGAAAUGACGUGUGGUUUCCUUGUUUCAGCAAGC